This 136-nucleotide small nuclear RNA is filed under the name Salmo salar (Atlantic salmon). RNAcentral describes it as "U1 spliceosomal RNA". It matches the Rfam family "U1 spliceosomal RNA", at positions 1 to 134 of the family's 166-position model. From Rfam's summary of the family: U1 is a small nuclear RNA (snRNA) component of the spliceosome (involved in pre-mRNA splicing). Its 5' end forms complementary base pairs with the 5' splice junction, thus defining the 5' donor site of an intron. The record is from Rfam by way of RNAcentral. Lineage: Eukaryota; Metazoa; Chordata; Actinopteri; Salmoniformes; Salmonidae.
AUACUUACCUGGCAAGGGAGACACCGUGAUCAAGAAGGCGGUUCACCCACUGCCGAGGCUCAGCCAUUGCACUCCGGCUGUGCUGACCCCUGCGAAUUUCCCCAAAUUGUGGAAAUCUCUAUUGCAUAAUUUCUGG